Biomphalaria pfeifferi is the source of this 509-nucleotide non-coding RNA. NCBI's taxonomy places the organism in Eukaryota, Metazoa, Mollusca, Gastropoda, Planorbidae. The record is from the annotation of a GenBank genome assembly.
CUUUUUAUGCACUUUAUUUAUUGAUUUUUUUUCUACCAAAACUGAACAUGGGGGAAAAAAAUGGAUAAAAACAAAGUAACCCUUAACACCAUUGCAUGCCAAAAUGACUAGAGAAAACAUUUGAGUACUGUGACUAAUAAUGUUUCAAAAUUACUUAACUGAAUAAAAUCUGCUUUGGAAUGUGCUGGAAAAAAUGGACAAUAUUGCUGAUUCAGUAUUGAAAGCUUAAUUCAUCCUAGCAAUAUUUCUUGAAAAUGUGCAUUAUAAAUUUGGUUGACAUAAUACAAACCAGUAUCCAUACACAUAAGAAUUUGCUGAUUCAGGAUGUCAAGAACAUGAGUAAAUAUUUUACUUUAAAAAGAAAUACAAGAUCGUAUCAUCAAUAUUACUUUAUGAUCAACUAAUAAUAAUAAUAAUAAUAAUCUUUAUUAUCCAUAUGGAAAUUUGUCUUAUGGUAAAAGAUAAGAUUUUGUAAAGGCAUUAUAUCAACAAUCAGAUCAUAAGUAAAG